CAUUGUAAUGAUGUUUUCAUCUUUCGGGACUGAUCCUAUUGAGGACAAAACCUUAGCUGAACAAUU
Molecule: small nucleolar RNA, 66 nt
Filed under: Haliotis rubra (blacklip abalone)
Lineage: Eukaryota; Metazoa; Mollusca; Gastropoda; Lepetellida; Haliotidae
Description: small nucleolar RNA SNORD2
Rfam family: Small nucleolar RNA SNORD2
Source: RNAcentral